Molecule: ribosomal RNA, 279 nt
Filed under: uncultured bacterium
Lineage: Bacteria
Description: partial 16S ribosomal RNA
Rfam family: Archaeal small subunit ribosomal RNA
Source: RNAcentral
UGCCAGCAGCCGCGGUAAUACCGGCAGCUCGAGUGGUCGUCGCUUUUAUUGGGCCUAAAACGUCCGUAGCCUGUUUGGUAAAUCUGUGGGUAAAUCAACGAGCUCAACUCGUUGAAUUCUGCAGAGACUGCCAGACUAGGGACCGGGAGAGGUAUGAGGUACUCUGGGGGUAGGGGUAAAAUCCUGUCAUCCUCAGAGGACCACCUGUUGCGAAGGCGUCAUACUGGAACGGAUCCGACGGUCAGGGACGAAGCCUAGGGGCACGAACCGGAUUAGAUA